GACGAACGCUGGCGGCGUGCUUAACACAUGCAAGUCGAACGGAAAGGCCUGCUUUCCCUUGUGGAUUGCGGGUACUCGAGUGGCGAACGGGUGAGUAACACGUGAGUGAUCUGCCCCCAACUUGGGUAUAAGCCUGGGAAACUGGGUCUAAUUCCCGAUAGGACUGCAGGGUGGUGCCUGUGGUGGAAAGCGAUUUUCUAGUGGUUGGGGAUGAGCUCGCGGCCUAUCAGCUUGUUGGUGGGGUAAUGGCCUACCAAGGCGGCGACGGGUAGCCGGCCUGAGAGGGUGGACGGCCACAGUGGGACUGAGAGACGGCCCAGACUCCUACGGGAGGCAGCAGUGGGGAAUAUGGCACAAUGGGCGGAAGCCUGAUGCAGCGACGCCGCGUGGGGGAUGACGGCCUUCGGGUUGUAAACUCCUUUCGACCGCGAGGAAGCCACCUGGUUGGAAGGGUGGUGACGGUAGUGGUAGAAGAAGCACCGGCUAACUACGUG
This 494-nucleotide ribosomal RNA is filed under the name uncultured bacterium. Its description in RNAcentral is "partial 16S ribosomal RNA". It matches the Rfam family "Bacterial small subunit ribosomal RNA", at positions 28 to 507 of the family's 1533-position model. The record is from RNAcentral.